Long non-coding RNA from Tachysurus fulvidraco (yellow catfish), 607 nucleotides. RefSeq lists it as uncharacterized. The record is from RefSeq and is a predicted model, not a curated record. NCBI's taxonomy places the organism in Eukaryota, Metazoa, Chordata, Actinopteri, Siluriformes, Bagridae. The transcript has 3 exons.
CAAGAGGAAAACACGGUUGAAUUAUAAAAUAAAAAAGAAACCUCUGCGUAUUGUAUGUGUCCCUCCUGUAGUUGUAUGUGGCUGAACAAAGCCACACACUUCACUUAUUAUGCGCCUUUGCUCAUCCAUGACACACGGACUUUAUUGCCUUAACAUUAGAUCAGGUUUUAAAACACACGAAUCUGCUGCACUGAUUCGAAAACUAGAGAAACUACUUCGGGAAAUUCUGUCGAGAAAUCGAGUUAUCUCUCAUCAAAGUUCGGGAAAUUUAAAUCCCCAGGACAUUUAAAUGAACUAUCUCAUCUUUCCAAAGGACAAUUUUGCUUUAUUUCGGCUUUUUAAACGCGGGAAUCGCGCUGAAACGAAUACAGGAAGUGAAGUUGGUGGUCAGAGUGACAGCAGUGACAGAGACAAAACAGGAAAAGAAAUAGCUGAAUUCCACCCUACUGUAAACCCAGUCUGGACAGAAGCCACAUGAAAAACACAAAGCAAACACAAACACAAAGCAGCUGAACUAAGAAUUGGAUAAUAUUCACUCUUCUUUCUGUAAUAGAAAAUAAAAAAUAACUUCACUCACCUGCAGCGACGUGAAACAUGACGUACAAAA